Long non-coding RNA from Armigeres subalbatus, 470 nucleotides. RefSeq lists it as uncharacterized. The transcript has 4 exons. The record is from RefSeq and is a predicted model, not a curated record. NCBI's taxonomy places the organism in Eukaryota, Metazoa, Arthropoda, Insecta, Diptera, Culicidae.
UCAUCGGUAAAAUAAUCGAUUGAUUGUGUACUUAUAGUGCUUAUUUUGAUAGAUUCAUGAACAGACGAAAUCGAAUCCCCGUGUUCAUAAACAUAGAGUGAAAAAAAAGGAAGGUUCUUCGGUAGUAAGCGAUUAAUAAAGUGUUCAUAGACAUGGCCAGCUUCGUGGAUGGCCACGUACACAAGGGCUUUUUGCAGUUGAAGAGGACCUGAGGGCGCUCAAUGUUCAGGGCGAUUGGAAGCGAUUGGCCCAGGAUCGAGUCCAGUGGAGAAAAAUACUUAAUUCGGCGUAGGUUCAUCGAAGACCUGUAGCCCAUCAAGUAACAAGUAAAAUCAUGAAGUUCCUGCGAUGCCACACGAUUUGAUAAACCAAUUAAUCCCCUUAUUUCGUCGGAUUCCAUUAUUUUCCACAUCGAUGAAUUUAUAGAUUUAAUCUGAUUUGCUUAAUGAUAAAAUUAAAUAAACCGAUUA